This 1358-nucleotide ribosomal RNA is filed under the name metagenome. Its description in RNAcentral is "SSU rRNA". It matches the Rfam family "Eukaryotic small subunit ribosomal RNA", at positions 386 to 1801 of the family's 1831-position model. The record is from RNAcentral.
GUGAGGGAGCAUGAGAAACGGCUACCACAUCUAAGGGAGGCAGCAGGCGCGUAAAUUACCCAAUCCUGACUCAGGGAGGUAGUGACAAGAAAUAGCAAACCGGGAACCUCAUGGUUUCACGGUAUUGCAAUGAGAACAAUUUAAAACCCUUAGCGAGAAUCAAGUGGAGGACAAGUCUGGUGCCAGCACCCGCGGUAAUUCCAGCUCCACUAGCGUAUAUUAAAGUUGUUGCAGUUAAAAAGCUCGUAGUUGAACCUCUGUCUGGGGCUAGUUUUGGCUUUGGUCAGGCUAGUUCUAGGCAUCCGCCUACAAGACUUAGAGGGCAUUCAGUUGUUCGCUAGGAGGAGUAGGCAUUUUACUUUGAAAAAAUUAGAGUGUUUAAGGCAGGCAAUCGCCCGCAUAUAUUAGCAUGGAAUAAUAGAAUAGGACACUUUUCCAUUUCGUUGGUUAUUGGAAUCGUGUAAUGAUUAAUAGGGACAGUUGUGGGCAUUUGUAUUUAAUUGUCAGAGGUGAAAUUCUUGGAUUUAUUAAAGACAAACUAACGCGAAAGCAUUUGCCAAGGAUGUUUUCAUUAAUCAAGAACGAAAGUUAGGGGAUCAAAGACGAUCAGAUACCGUCCUAGUCUUAACUAUAAACUAUUCCGACUCAAUGUUUGACUGGCUUAUAUAACCAGUUGAGCGUUGUAUGAGAAAUCAAAGUCUUUAGGUUCUGGGGGGAGUAUGGUUGCAAAGCUGAAACUUAAAGGAAUUGACGGAAGAGCACAACCAGGAGUGGAUUCUGCGGCUUAAUUUGACUCAACACGGGGAAACUUACCAGGUUAAAACAAUAGUGGGAUUGACAGUUUGAGAGCGCUUUCUUGAUUGGUUGGGUGGUGGUGCAUGGCCGUUCUUAGUUGGUGGAGUGAUUUGUCUGCUUAAUUGCGUUAACGAACGAGACCUUAACCUGCUUACUAGACUGGCGAUCAUCAAUCGUUAGCUCUUCUUAGAGGGACUUUGGUUGUUUUAACUCCAAGGAAGUUUGAGGCAAUAACAGGUCUGUGAUGCCCUUAGAUAUCCUGGGCCGCACGCGUCAUACAAUGACUAGUUCAGAAAGUUUUCUCCUGACCCGAAAGGGGAUGGGUAAUCUUGAUAAUACUAGUCGUGUUAGGGAUCGAUCUUUGCAAUUAUAGAUCUUGAACGAGGAAUUCCUAGUAAGUGCGGUUCAUCAGACCGUACUGAUUACGUCCCUGCUCUUUGUACACACCGCCCGUCGCUUCUACCGAGUGGGUGGUCCGGUGAGAUAAUUGAACUUCGCAGGUAACUGAGAGGAAAGAUUAUCAAACCUAUCCACCUCGAGGAAGAAGAAGUCGUAACAAGGUU